RNAcentral lists this transfer RNA (75 nucleotides) under Saprospiraceae bacterium. RNAcentral's name for it is "tRNA-Asp". It matches the Rfam family "tRNA". Rfam says of the family: Transfer RNA (tRNA) molecules are approximately 80 nucleotides in length. Their secondary structure includes four short double-helical elements and three loops (D, anti-codon, and T loops). The record is from RNAcentral. RNAcentral also lists the same sequence under 1 other name. Lineage: Bacteria; Pseudomonadati; Bacteroidota; Saprospiria; Saprospirales; Saprospiraceae.
GGUUCGGUAGUUCAGCCUGGUUAGAAUGCCUGCCUGUCACGCAGGAGGUCGCGGGUUCGAAUCCCGUCCGGACCG